UAUCUUAGGUGUACCCUGCCCGGUGAUAUUUUUUAACGGCCGCAGUACUCUGACUGUGCUAAGGUAGCAUAAUAAUUUGUCUUUUAAUUAAAGACUGGAAUAAACGGGUGUUUAAUGGAAGUCUAUCUAUUAAUGUAAAAUAGUAAAAUUACUGAUAAGGUGAAAAUACCUUAGCUAUCUUCUANUUAGACGAGAAGACCCUUAGAGUUUAACCUAUAUUUUGUUGGGGCGACAAGAAUGCACAAACCCACUCUUGACUAUAUUUCUAUCUAUCUAUAAUAUAUUAAAAAACAAACUACCUAAGGGAUAACAGCAUAAUUUUUUANUAAGAUUAUGACCUCGAUGUUGGAUUAAGGGCUUAUAUACUAGUAGUUUAAUAANGAUUGUUCUGUUCGAACA
This 399-nucleotide ribosomal RNA is filed under the name Hemphillia burringtoni (keeled jumping slug). Its description in RNAcentral is "partial large subunit ribosomal RNA". It matches the Rfam family "Archaeal large subunit ribosomal RNA", at positions 1936 to 2656 of the family's 2987-position model. Lineage: Eukaryota; Metazoa; Mollusca; Gastropoda; Stylommatophora; Arionidae. The record is from RNAcentral.